UGACAGAUAGGAAUCUUGAUACUAGAAAUGUAUGCAUUCUAAGUUGUUAAGAAACAUAUGCAGGAGGCUGGUCUCUUAGGGAUAAACAUUGCCUGAACUUCAAGAUUAUAUGGUGCAGAAUGACAGUCUCAUUGCACCUCCAGGUGGGAGUACCAGCAUAAACACAGGGCCAGGGAGCUGUGCCUCAAAGACAAGCCUUUCCCUUCUAAUCUUACUAUUAAAAUGAAACUCCAUUAAAACUGGAGGAGGUAGAUAGGCAUAGCUGGUCAUAUCCUGUCUUGGCAAUCAGAUCUAAUUUUAACUUAAUUUUGUUGUGCUGUGGUUACCUAAACCAGCCUAACAUUACACCCUGUAGCCACUUCUGCCAGAGAUACUUAUUAGGUCUUACCCCUGGAGUAAAACAGACCCUGAAGAAGAGAGGGAAAAGGGAGAGAGCACAGAACGCACCCCUGGCGAGUAGCUGGGAAAGAAUCAGACUGAUGCUGACAAACAUCUAUGACGACACGGACACAGCACUGCCAUAAGCAAGGGGAUGGAUCUGGUCCCCUCUUGAGGUGAGCCAGUCCUUUCCAGUUCAGUGGCUUACUGAAGAGAUCGUUCAAAUGUCUUAGUGAUACUGGACCAAGCAUGUUAUUGAGGCAUCAAUCUGUUGUACUUUCUACCAUAAGAAAAACUACCUCUGUAAGAAACUUGACUGCAGCUUCUGACUCCUUGUCAACCUACAGGUGACGUUUGUCACAUUUCAGGCUGAGUUUUCUGGUUUAUUGAAGAA
Haemorhous mexicanus (house finch) is the source of this 772-nucleotide long non-coding RNA. RefSeq lists it as uncharacterized. The transcript has 3 exons. NCBI's taxonomy places the organism in Eukaryota, Metazoa, Chordata, Aves, Passeriformes, Fringillidae. The record is from RefSeq and is a predicted model, not a curated record.